UUAGGGCGAGCAACGGAAGGAACAUAGUCAAAGCAGUGGGACUUCUCAACACUUCGAUUUUGAGAGUGCAGACAACGAAGAAGCUGCAGGUGAGGAUCUCGAUAAAGAAGGACUGCUGACCAAUAUCCAAAUUGUAGGGAUGUGGACCCGGUUUUAUAAUUAAAAAAUAUUUAAUUUUUCGAGGAAUUAGGUCUUACUAGUUCCGAAAUAGUCUGGCAGCCUUGUUACCUCAGGAAAAUACUAAACGAUAUGUUCGUUAUUUCCAACACUACUUGUCAAAUUCCUUGAGGCCAGCCAUCGCCAUUUGCCAUUUUGUUCUUCUAAUUCUGGGCAUUCGUAAAAAGCACACGCGCUUUACCUUUUAUAAGUGUUCUUCACAAGCUAGAACUCAAUAACCGCCGAACUUUUGCGCCAGCUUCAACUGUUGUUAAAUCAACAAGGAAUUUGACGGGAGUGGCGAGAAUUAGUGUGGAUUCGUAGUCAACGCGAUCUUGCUCGCGGCCUUAACAUCUAACGAGUCGUAUUACCACGAAAUAAGGUGAGCAUAGGAAAAUUUGGGAUUUCGUCUACUAAAUGGAAACGUACUAGGAACGCCAAACUAGCGUGAAACGGUAUUGCCUGUAGCUUUUUUUUUGGGGAUCUUGGCGGCCACUGCGUGGAGACGACGUUAACCUCGACUCAGGGUACGCAUCAAUCCCAACCCCAAAACCGCACCAGUGAUCACUGCAAGUUGCCCUUGCAGAAUCUUGGCUGCUACCGCGUGGAGCCGGCCUGAAUCUCGAGUCGAGCCGCACGCCAUCUAUAACCUCCAAUACGUUUUCAUUAAUCCUGCCCAGCGAACACAGCUGUCGACUCCGCUCAAACCCAGUUUGGAAAAUUCUGAACCACCAUAUAUCAUCACGUUACACAAUCUGCAUGUCUCCGUAUAACCAAAGACUUUGUUUUCUAAUUUUUAUGUACUCCAAUCCUAAAAUAAUACUAAUCAAUAAGAAAUAUUAUAUCGAUAGAAUGGUAUUGUAAGUGUAUUUGGCCUUAGAUUGAUUCCAUUCUAACAAUGUUAUGUAAUCCUCACAACAAUUAACAGCAAGUCCACCGGCCUGUUGACUACGUUGGAAUUUCAGCUGUCAAAGAAGGUUGUAUUUAAUAACCGAGGAGUCAUUGCCACAAACAGCGUUGGAUGUUGCGACUCGUUGGAAUAAAACAUACAAUGAUGAGCAAGUUGCAACAAAAAAUUUGGCAGCAAAUGAGUGGAGUGCUGUAAGAAGGCUCGUGAGAUACCGUCUAACCAGCGUAUAUUGCCACUGAGAAAACACAUUGGUUUGUGAGUGACUUUUACAAGCUAAGGCUUGAGCUCAAGCCAACUGUUGCAGCAGCGGAUAGCACUGAAAGCCAGACAUUGAUCCAGUGCAUCCGUGAAAGGGAAGAGAGCGUUUUGGGAUGUAAGCCUAAAUUUGCAGCAUAUACUUGGACCCACGCAUCAGACGAGUUUUGCUACAAAUCCAAUUAGCGUAAUGCUCUCCAGAACUUAUUUUAAACCUAUUUAAAUUGAAAAAAAAACAGUUAGUAUUUAUGUAAUUUAUUAAUUUAAACUUAUAACUUAUGAAAAUAACAUUGCAGACUUCACAGCCUUCCUGCAGUACGUCAAACGCUUCAACGUUGUUUGAGGCUGAUAAUUUAUUAGUUUCGCAAAGCUCGAACACCUAUUCGUUAUUGAACGAGUUCUUGCAAACGAAUGACGUAGCUUCAGGAUGAAACUGAUGGUGGGCCAACGGAAAAAAUUAAGAAGCGGAACAACAAAACUUACGGCUAUAGCCCUAAGCCAAUAUGCGCAACCACCAAUAUAAUGGAGUAUUGGGAUUAAAAGAAUUACGUAUACCCUAAUUUAUACCAGCUGACCGAAGUGGUACAUUCAGUUCCUGCAACUUAAGUGAGCGUUGAAAAAUCAUUUUUGGCACUCAAAAUGAUGCUCACAGACCAACGAUGCAACCUUGGUGAAGAAUCAUUGAAUAAAUUAUUUUUUCUAAAACUAAUUAAUAAAUAAACUUAAAAAUAAA
This is a long non-coding RNA of Drosophila gunungcola (fruit fly), 2054 nucleotides long. RefSeq lists it as uncharacterized. The transcript is spliced from 2 exons. The record is from RefSeq and is a predicted model, not a curated record. NCBI's taxonomy places the organism in Eukaryota, Metazoa, Arthropoda, Insecta, Diptera, Drosophilidae.